Molecule: ribosomal RNA, 2600 nt
Filed under: Triticum aestivum (bread wheat)
Lineage: Eukaryota; Viridiplantae; Streptophyta; Magnoliopsida; Poales; Poaceae
Description: partial small subunit ribosomal RNA
Source: RNAcentral
CUCUCACAUAGUCCACCACCGCGUGCUCUACGGCUGCCGCCGCUACCUCGCGUCACCGCCGACGCCUCAAUCCCGCCCCACGCCUCCCCCUGCCCCCGUCGCCCCCAGCACCACGCGGCACCCAAAACACCCCAGCCUCUAACGCGUGUCGCUGCCAUCGCCGUUACCGCCCUUCCUCGUCGCGACAUCGCGUUCCUGCCAUCUCCACCCGGUCUGCAAUUCUUGGCCAUUAGGUUUUGAGUAACACUGGACAGAAAUGGAGAAUGUGCAGUAUGCCGAAGAACUCGUGAGGGAGUUUCUUGUCUUCAGGGGUUUCACGAACACGCUGCAAGCUUACGAGGCAGAAUUGUCCACCGAGAUCGGCAGGAACUUUGAAGUAGACAAGAUCCUAGAUUUAGUGUUCUCAGUGUACAUACCAAAAUACCAACUGGAUAGACUGCUAAGCAUCUUCAGCUUUUUAAAACAGUGUUUCACUUCACCUGCGGACACGGUACUCUACACGGCGCUUCUUAAACUGGAGCAGUCAGUAUUACGCUAUUAUGUUGUCAAUGCCUUGAAAUCUGGAAGGCAAGAAAAAGUUGUUGAAUUCUUUAGCGCAAGCGGCAGUUAUCUGAUGCAAAAGCGUGAAGAUUGGAUAGCAUGGUUUGCUAUACCAUAUAUUAAGAACCCAAGCUUGGAUCCACAGUUCCGUAUGUAUUUUUCCAAAGAAUGGUCAGACACUUUGGUUCUUUCAUUUCGGAACUUCUUAAGUGGGAUAUUCAAUGGUACUCGAAUCCCAGCUCUUUUGAAGAUUAGCACUGAAAAAAACAUGAUCAAGUGCCUCAAGAGUGACAUAAAGCAACUGAAUAACAAAUUGUCAGAACUGCAAGCAUUGUUAGAGGUGAAGGAAGUUGAACUAUCUCUGCUGAGAAGGAGUGGUAAUAGUAUUGAUUCUGGACACAAGAAUUUACUCAAGAUUACUACAGCUGGUUCUUCCGCUGAUGGACAAGCUUCCUCAGGAGUCUACGAAGAAUCCUCAACUUCAAGUAUACAGGGUGUUGACUCACAUACUUUGAGUUCAGUAAAAUCAAGAGAUGAGAAAUUGUGCGAUUCUUCUUGGAUGAGCAAUGCAGAAAAUGAGCAGAUUUUGGUGACAGAGGAAGAUUUUCCUGAAGUGAAGGUGGAUUUUCAGGCCAUAACAGUUCCAUAAGUAGCUGUCGGUUUUCUGCUUCUGGAUCAAAUAUUGCCAGUUCUUCGACUGAUGGCACAGUGAGAAUUUGGACAUACGACUCAUCAACACCAUCAUCAAAAAAUGCAACUAUAUACUGUGGAGCUGAAGUCAGAGCACUUUCUUGGGAAUGCAGAUCUGACCGCUUGGCACAGCUAAUGGAGGCAUUAAAGCUUGGAAUGCUGAUGCAAAGAGAGUUGUUUGUGACCUCAGUACAUCCAAGGACUUCCCAAGUGUGCUUGAUUUGAAGUGUAGCCCUGUAGAUCCCGUGUUCGUCUCCGCAGCUGCAUCGAGACGGCAUGGAUCAACUAUAUUUGACAGAACAGGAUUUGCCUCCUUGACAGUAUGGCAUAUGAAAACAUGGAAGCCUCUGACAGUCCUCCCUCUUGGCGAGGAUCCACCUGCUAUUACUUCACUUUGCUUCAAUCACAAUGGGAAGAUCUUGGCAGCCUCUGCAACAGAUGGCAUGAUUCACAUGUUUGACAUGUCUGCUGGUCUACAAAUCACCGGAUGGCCUGCUCAUGAUUCCCCUGUCAGCUCAGUUCUUUUUGGGCCAGCUGAAACAAGCAUCUUCAGUUUAGGCUCAGAUGGAAAGAUAUUUGAGUGGAGCUUGCACAAUCAAGGUCAGAUUAUUUGGUCAAGAGAUUGCAGUAGGUUUUGUAACCCUGAGAGCUUUAACAAACACAUGCAUGAGGUAGCGUUGGAUUCUAAUGGCAAGAGACUUCUUGCUUCUUCGGGUUUGGUUCGGGCUCCAAUAUACCAGGUGCAAGGCCAUGAGAGAGGGUUGAGGACACUUCCUCAUACUGCACCUAUAACAAGUGUGGACUGGCACCCCACGCGGCCAAUCUAUGUUACUGGUUCUGAAGACCACUCUGUCCGCGUCACAUCCAUUCUAUGAUAUUCUAUGUUGAGCAGUUUGCCCUUGAGAUUUUGUUGAUUGUCCAGUUCCAUGGAGUGCUGCUCCGUGGAGUGACCUCCAAGAGAUGAACCAGUUCCAUGGAUCCUCAUGAUAUUCCUGAUUAUCUCAUCCAGAUAGAUCCUUUUCCGUUGGAAAACUGGGUCAUGUUUGUGUUUGUAGACUUGGCAAGCCGGUGAAACUAUGUUGUAAAAACGGGUGAAAACAUCUGUGAUCUCUUUACAUGGUAGGAGCCUAGGAUCUUUACAGCAGGUUUCUCCCAUUCUCAUCAAAAGAAUUAGGGAUCAAUCCAUGCCUGGCACCAGUUUUUUUAUGAUGUAUUGCUGGUUUCUGAAGGAAAAAUGAUGUGUUGCUGUUUGAUUAGCAAAUAUUGUCCUAUCAGUUGAUGGUUUGGGGCCAAUUAGGGUUCUAUUUCAAGCAUCUCAGAGCGCUUUUACGUAAUUCUUGUGAAAUCCUAGUAAUAAUAACUAGUCGAUU